RNAcentral lists this transfer RNA (73 nucleotides) under Betaproteobacteria bacterium. It matches the Rfam family "tRNA". From Rfam's summary of the family: Transfer RNA (tRNA) molecules are approximately 80 nucleotides in length. Their secondary structure includes four short double-helical elements and three loops (D, anti-codon, and T loops). Lineage: Bacteria; Pseudomonadati; Pseudomonadota; Betaproteobacteria. The record is from Rfam by way of RNAcentral.
GAUGCGAUGGCCGAAUGGCGAGGCGAGCGUCCGCAAAGCGCUUUUUAUCUCGGUUCGAAUCCGAGUCGCAUCU